ACAGAUAUCGCAGUAAUUUUCACAUUUCUGACCUAGCUGCUGGUCUGGCCUGGAGCUUGUCACCUGCCACAUUUAUCGGGCCGUGAUCCUCAUUGCCUCCAGGAUGAUUGAUGCUUCAAGGUUUUCCUGUGGUGUAAAUAACAAUCAAGAAGCCGGAAUAUUUUACUCCCACAGCGACAAAUCAUUUCAUUGAUAUGUCAUUGGAAGGUUUCCUUUCUAUGCAAUGGUUUGUAUUAGUUGGGCUUCGAAACUGUGCUCCCUGAAAGAAACAACAAGCCUCUUACAUCUUUCUGCUGUCACUUGCUUCUCCGGCGGCUGGCUUAUAAUUUUGUCAUUGUGAGCCUUGUUCUCUGUGAUUUCUUGUAGCACAUGAUGAACAUGUUUGCUGUCCCUUCCUAGUGAGUCAGAGGGAAGGGUGACUCUCAACUUGAAAUUUUUUCUCAAUGAGAAGUGACGGAGUUCCUGUAG
Long non-coding RNA from Thrips palmi, 468 nucleotides. RefSeq lists it as uncharacterized. Lineage: Eukaryota; Metazoa; Arthropoda; Insecta; Thysanoptera; Thripidae. The record is from RefSeq and is a predicted model, not a curated record. The transcript is spliced from 4 exons.